Molecule: RNA transcript, 1993 nt
Organism: Daphnia pulex (common water flea)
Lineage: Eukaryota; Metazoa; Arthropoda; Branchiopoda; Diplostraca; Daphniidae
Gene name: mRNA-capping enzyme-like
Exons: 7
Source: RefSeq, a predicted model, not a curated record
UACUGUCUGCUCUGCUGAUUCAGAUUCACAUUCACUGAGUGAUUUAAAAGACGUGUGCUGAAGGCUGAUUGUGAUUGCUACAAAAUAUUUAGUUAUUUACUUAGCAACACCGUUUAUUUUCAAAAUUGUUUCAAAAUGAAUCGUGGUGGAUCCAGAAAGCCACGGCGAGUUCCGAGAGACAAGCGGUACCCAGAUAAAGCGUUUUCAGAGCUUGUUCUCAGUCAAAACCAACAACCAAGGUUAUCACAUCAAUUCCUAACCAAAGAACCUGACAUCCACUUUAUGGAUGAAGAACCUGUUGAGGGUGUCAGUCUCGUUAGAGAUUUUCAACUUGUCCGACAAAUGCAGGUCCUGCUAGGAAAUUAUGUUGGAGCUCGUAUAUUUGAGCACACAUUCUUCCCAGCCUUGUGGGCCAUUCCAUUAUCCAUGGAAAACAUCCAUCAGGUCCUGUCGAAGACUCAUUUUAUGAUGCCUAAACCAUGUGGACCCCGUUUUCUACUUUACAUCGACUCUUCCGGCCAAACUUACUUGGAGAACAUGACUCAACACUUCUUCCUCGUGGACACUGAUCGCGCCGUUCAAUUCAUCUCCACUGAUGGUCGAGCAACAACCGACACCGUCCUCGAUGGCAUUUUUACCAAGGAUGAGAAGGGCGGAAUACUGACGUUUUUCGUCUGCGAUGCCGUUCGAUGCAAUGGUGUAAACCUCACGAAAAUGAACGCCUUUCAACGCAUCGCAUUUGUCAAGGAAAAUUUGAUGAAGCCGCGAUUGAAUGCGGUGGAGCACCAAACGAUAUCCAUUAAGAACGAGGUUUUCAAUUUGGAUAUAGUGGACUGCCUGGACUGUAAUUCAGCUGAUUUUCUGGAUACCGAAUUCGAAAAAGAGUUCAAAUAUCCACUUCGUUCUUUAGUCUUCUUCCCACGAAACCAGGAAUACGUCGGUGGGACGUGUACAAAUGUUUUAAAGUGGACAGAAGAUGAGAAUUAUGAGUGUGUCUUUCGUAUCGUUAUUCAGAAAGGGUCAAAUGGGACUGACACUGCCGGAUUGCAGGCGGUUGGUGGUCCGGGUAAUCGUGAAAUUUAUUUUGCCUCUAUCGACAUGACGGAUGUAAUCCAACAACUUGAUCUUCGCAUCGUUGAGUGUCGUUUCGUUAACGGACAAUGGAUUUUGGUCAGAAUCAGGAACGAUCGCCCGCAUCCCCACAGCAGACGUGCCAUUAUAAGCGAGGAGUCACGGACCUCCUCUUCAACUGCAACACUUUGGAACUGUACGUUCCUUAAGAAACACUGGAAACGCUCUGUUGAUGAAAAGCGGACAACAACAUCAAAGUGAGAAUGAUAUUCCUGUGAGCUUUUGAUGUUUGCAUCUUGUCGGAGGAGGAGAAUUUUCGGACUGACUGCAUCAGUCGUUUUCGAAUCGAUUUUGAAUUUCUCUUUGUGCUGGGUCUUCGUUACGACUUUUGAUGUGGUGAAUCGCGCGUAUUUCUAUCCGGACGUGUCCAUCUCACCUUAUAUACUGUAGUUGUUGCAGUUGCUGAUCGAAUGAUAGGAGGAAGUCGGCCGCUCUUUUCUUUAAUUUCGUCAAAUUGAGCAAAUUGGCGUGAAGGAGAAGUUUGAUUUAUGUAUUAUUCAACGCCCAUUAUUUAUUGUUGUUUUUUUCCUUUUUCAUGGCGACUCAACAGACACAAAACACACUACUGGCUCGAUUUACCCUUUGUUGAAUUAUUAAGACACGAGCAAAUGGAGUGUGUUGUUGUUGUCUUUGUUUCACCUCGGACAAAAUUCUUUGACUGUUUUGAUCAGGUACUUUGAAUCAAGCUAUACCUUUUGUAAUUUUUUAAACUGCAAUUUUAAAAUUUAAAAAACGACUCAAAUAUAUCCGGGUCGGGCGACCUAACUACUUACGUAGUAUUUUUUUUUAAGGCUAAAGCGCGAACUAAAAUUUUAACAUUAAAUACAGUGAAGUGGCAAAAAUAUCGAAUUCUAGGGACAAC